This is a small nuclear RNA of Cynara cardunculus var. scolymus (artichoke), 118 nucleotides long. RefSeq annotates it as U5 spliceosomal RNA. Lineage: Eukaryota; Viridiplantae; Streptophyta; Magnoliopsida; Asterales; Asteraceae. The record is from RefSeq and is a predicted model, not a curated record. The transcript has a single exon.
AGUUGUAGACAAAGAAUACCAUGUGCUAUUCUUUCGCCUUUUACUAAAGAAUACCGCAUGCUUGUUGCUCAAAAUGGUAUACGCCUAUUCUUGGAGAGGUCUUCAUUUAUUCGAAUGC